RNAcentral lists this long non-coding RNA (678 nucleotides) under Carica papaya (papaya). Its description in RNAcentral is "long non-coding RNA (CPAP_LNC015926)". Lineage: Eukaryota; Viridiplantae; Streptophyta; Magnoliopsida; Brassicales; Caricaceae. The record is from RNAcentral.
UUGAAAAGUCAAAGAAAAUCAUCAAUCUCCCGAUCAUUUAGAUUCCUUUCAAAACAACAAUUCAACCACCUGUACCACUUGAGCGCAAUAAAGAAUCCUUAUUGGAUAGGGAAAGAUGGAGAAAGAUAUAAGGUGACUAAUUAAAAAAGGGUCUGGAAAGCAUCUUGUUAAAAAAUCUAUAAGUUGUAGCAUAGUCCAUUAAAAUUUUAGCAUCCAUCAAAUAUUAGUAUUGCAAUAUAAGAUCGGGUCAUCAGCAAACUUUAAAUGAGAGACCUCCACAUUGUGCUGACCAACUCUUAAAUCUUUCACUUCUCCUCUCCUGGUCGCACUAGUCAACAUCUUGCUCAGUAUAUCAAUAACCAGAGUGAAUAGAGAAGGCAACCACGGAUCCUCUAUCUAAGUCCUCUCGUUGACCGGAACCAAUCAUGAGGUUUUCCUUUUACAAUCACUGAGAAGGAACUAGAUGAAGGACAUCCUCGAAUCCAUUUUCUACAUCUCCGCCCCAAUCCUUUUCUCUCCAUUACUCUGUCUAAGAACCUCUAGUUGACUCUAUCAUAUGUUUUCUCAAUAUCCAAUUCUAGAUCUAACCCUUUCCGCCUAGUGGCUUAUGUGUACAACACUAGCUCAUCGGGCACAAGCUUCAAGGAUUUGUCUACCACUUGCAGAGGUACUUUGAUU